Molecule: ribosomal RNA, 445 nt
Filed under: uncultured bacterium
Lineage: Bacteria
Description: partial 16S ribosomal RNA
Rfam family: Bacterial small subunit ribosomal RNA
Source: RNAcentral
UCCAGACUCCUACGGGAGGCAGCAGUGGGGAAUAUUGCACAAUGGGGGAAACCCUGAUGCAGCGACGCCGCGUGAGUGAAGAAGUAUUUCGGUAUGUAAAGCUCUAUCAGCAGGAAAGAAAAUGACGGUACCUGACUAAGAAGCCCCGGCUAACUACGUGCCAGCAGCCGCGGUAAUACGUAGGGGGCAAGCGUUAUCCGGAUUUACUGGGUGUAAAGGGAGCGUAGACGGUGAAGCAAGUCUGAAGUGAAAGGCGGGGGCUCAACCCCCGGACUGCUUUGGAAACUGUUUGACUGGAGUGCAGGAGAGGUAAGUGGAAUUCCUGGUGUAGCGGUGAAAUGCGCAGAUAUCAGGAAGAACACCGGUGGCGUAGGCGGCUUACUGGACGGCAACUGACGCUGAGGCUCGAAAGCGUGGGGAGCAAACAGGAUUAGAUACCCGAGUA